Lonchura striata (white-rumped munia) is the source of this 143-nucleotide non-coding RNA. The record is from RefSeq and is a predicted model, not a curated record. Lineage: Eukaryota; Metazoa; Chordata; Aves; Passeriformes; Estrildidae.
ACCAGACCUCAGAAUGAACACUCUUAAAAUUAAGGAUUCUGUGUUUUGCCUAUUGUGGCUCAGUCCUAUCUAAGCCACACCAAGGAAAAAAAAACCAUCCUUGGGUUUCUGUUGCAUAAAGAUUCUAUCUGGAAGUCUAGUAU